Molecule: non-coding RNA, 45 nt
Organism: Schistosoma margrebowiei
Lineage: Eukaryota; Metazoa; Platyhelminthes; Trematoda; Strigeidida; Schistosomatidae
Source: Rfam
AUCCAGAUGAAGAGUUCGAAACAUGACGAAACCUGUGUCCUGGAU